GAACCGCAUGGUUCAAUAGUGAAAGACGGUUUUGCUGUCACUUAUAGAUGGAUCCGCGCCGCAUUAGCUAGUUGGUAAGGUAACAGCUUACCAAGGCAACGAUGCGUAGCCGACCUGAGAGGGUGAUCGGCCACACUGGAACUGAGACACGGUCCAGACUCCUACGGGAGGCAGCAGUAGGGAAUCUUCCGCAAUGGGCGAAAGCCUGACGGAGCAACGCCGCGUGAGUGAUGAAGGUCUUCGGAUCGUAAAACUCUGUUAUUAGGGAAGAACAAAUGUGUGAGUAACUAUGCACGUCUUGACGGUACCUAAUCAGAAAGCCACGGCUAACUACGUGCCAGCAGCCGCGGUAAUACGUAGGUGGCAAGCGUUAUCCGGAAUUAUUGGGCGUAAAGCGCGCGUAGGCGGUUUUUUAAGUCUGAUGUGAAAGCCCACGGCUCAACCGUGGAGGGUCAUUGGAAACUGGAAAACUUGAGUGCAGAAGAGGAAAGUGGAAUUCCAUGUGUAGCGGUGAAAUGCGCAGAGAUAUGGAGGAACACCAGUGGCGAA
This 549-nucleotide ribosomal RNA is filed under the name uncultured Staphylococcus sp. Its description in RNAcentral is "bacterial SSU rRNA". It matches the Rfam family "Bacterial small subunit ribosomal RNA", at positions 183 to 719 of the family's 1533-position model. The record is from RNAcentral. Lineage: Bacteria; Bacillati; Bacillota; Bacilli; Caryophanales; Staphylococcaceae.